Molecule: ribosomal RNA, 460 nt
Filed under: uncultured bacterium
Lineage: Bacteria
Description: partial 16S ribosomal RNA
Rfam family: Bacterial small subunit ribosomal RNA
Source: RNAcentral
CCUACGGGAGGCAGCAGUGAGGAAUAUUGGUCAAUGGACGAGAGUCUGAACCAGCCAAGUAGCGUGAAGGAUGACUGCCCUAUGUGUUGUAAACUUCUUUUAUAAAGGAAUAAAACCUGGCACGUGUGCCUUUUUGCAUGUACUUUAUGAAUAAGGAUCGGCUAACUCCGUGCCAGCAGCCGCGGUAAUACGGAGGAUCCGAGCGUUAUCCGGAUUUAUUGGGUUUAAAGGGAGCGUAGUUGGGUUGUUAAGUCAGUUGUGAAAGUUUGCGGCUCAACCGUAAAAUCGCAGUUGAUACUGGCAGUCUUGAGUACAGUAGAGGUAUGCGGAAGUCGUGGUGUAGCGGUGAAAUGCUUAGAUAUCACGAAGAACCCCGAUUGCGAAGGCAGCUUACUAGACUGAGACUGACAUUGAUGCUCGAAAGUGUGGGUAUCAAACAGGAUUAGAUACCCGUGUAGUC